GCGAGUUUCUUUAGAAAAAAUGAAUAUGUUUUAACAAAAUUCAUGUACGAGGCGAGGAAGAACAGCAGAAGAAAAGCACACGAACGCGUUGGGUCUUUCAGUAAAAGGUUGUUGAAAACAUUGGAUGGUUCUAUCACAUAUCAAUAUAAUUCAACUUGUCUACUAAAAUGUCCCUGCUCAGAACCUUUCAGUUGUCUGCAUACAUUUUCUGCCUUUAACCGGGUUCGUUUCAUUCCCUGCACUGCCUUGAUGCUGUCAACCAAAAAUUUCCCAUGCUUAAUUCAACCAUAAGCGCUCAAGAUGAGGUUAAUAGUUAGUGUGCAAGAAGCGCGUGCCUAAGAAAACCAUGCCGACACGCGGUACCAGCUAGGCAGCGUGCGUACUGAAGUAUAAACGCGCGGCGAGGGAGCUGGGGAUGCGGUACGCGCUACGCGACCGGCGUAACUGCUUUGAAAUAAACAACCUACAUGUCGGCGAACCAUUCUGCAUUGCACUUAGGAUGUUUUAAAAACUUGUAGCAACUGAUUCCACUGCCAACUUUCUUUGGGCAUUAUAAGCUGUGCCGAAGAUUGGCAUUACAACGACCGCAAAUUUAAGUUACAGCAGACACGAAACGCGCCAAACGUUCAGUGAAAUGAACAGGAUGCCGCUACACUCACAUACAAGCGAGCGCCGUCCGCUCCGUUGUCUUUUUUAGGAGACAUAGACAGAUGAAAAGAGCGUUAAAUGUGUGAAGCCGCCAACUGAGAAAUGAAAUCUUUACCACUGUCCAAACACGAAAUGCUUCCACCAUCACACCAAUAACAUCACUGGCACCUCUGACAUUUAUUUCUGUAAUUCAUUGCUUGUUUUCAUUUUUUUUUCAUUUUUGCUUGUGCCUCUAAGUGCCUUUUUCUAACAUGGCGGCAGCGAGCAGGCAUCAGCCACACCGGAGCGCGGCCAUCCACGGUGCUAUCAUCUCUCCUCCUCGGCCCAAUCGAGAUAGCUCGAGUUGCACGCUGGGAAGAUUUUAAGCGGGAGCGGGAGGCUCGGAGCCGGCGGGAGUGGUUAGCGCGCUGUCGUCCUGUCGUUGUUGUCGUUCUGAGACGGCCAUUAUAUUUGACUUGUUUGGAUACCAUCCGAUCACCAUUGUGUGCUGCCACCACUUGUAGCCUGCAGUAGUUAUUACCGCUUCUACUGGGAACUUGCGCCAUCCGCUGCACCCUCAUGCCUUUGUGCAGCAGAGACCUUUUCGGUGUGUUGCGCGGUCGCUGCAACGAGCCGGGUUGUGAGUGCAAGCGAUACACCAUUCUGCGCCUGUCGGAAAGUGACAACCUGGUGAGGUGUGACUAUUGUGACCACGUCCCAAAUGCACACGGAAAAAUAUGUGAUCUCGAGAGGACUGUCCCAGUUGGUGCCUCCAUAGAAAAUGAAUCGGCCUGAAUGCCUGUGCAAGAAUCACAACCUGGCUGCUCUAAAGACUCCGCACCGUAGUCCCAUGUGCAAGAGCCCCCACUUGACAGCCCAGUGGUUGCCAUGGACAAAGAGAUCCGCGAUACUGAAUGCGGCCAAGCAGUACAAGUUUUUACAUGGACAGUUAACACGAAGUUAUUGACGACAUGCAUGGCUGAAACACGGUGAUAUGAUUUUAAAAAUUCCUGUGUUAUGAUGCAAGUGAUAGUAUUCUGUUGAAUUUUCAGAUCUAGUCAUGUGCCAGCAAGGCCUGCUGUACUUCUGGUGUAUUCUAUGUUGUAUUUUCAAAUAAAGAUGUUGCAUUCUGAAGUUAACCUUA
Molecule: non-coding RNA, 1771 nt
Organism: Dermacentor albipictus
Lineage: Eukaryota; Metazoa; Arthropoda; Arachnida; Ixodida; Ixodidae
Source: RefSeq, a predicted model, not a curated record